CCAUUCCAGAGAGCCUACACAAAGGUGCCUCUGUAAAGAGACAAAUGGCCUCCGACGCUCAGAGCAUAACCCUUGGCAGGGCUCAGCAAGCGCACGUUGAGUUCUUGGUCGUCCUUCCAGCGAGAGCAACAGCUUUUCCCUGAACCUGCUGAGGAGGCAGAAAGGCUGUGCAAAGCUGUGUUUCCAUUCUUGGUUCUCUCCGCUGUCAGUGGGCACUUGUUAUUUCCCGAAGCCUUCUCCUGGUGGCUGUGUUUGUUUAGAGACAGCUCCAGGAGCCCCCAGAGCUGUCUGCACAGCAUACCUUAGAUGUGGUAUUUAUUUUCUUAGUCCUGUGAACACCUGGGAGGAAAAGCAGAGAAACUGGGAUUUAUUUUUCAAAUUGGUGUCAUAAUAUUGUAUAAAAAGGGAAGGAAAAAAAAACCACCCCCAGCUUCUUUCUUUUUCAAGCCAAAGUGUGUUUCCUGUUUGAGUUCCAAGCCCUGGUGGCAGUCUAUUCCUGAAGGCAGAGAAGUCAGGCGGGAAAGGCCGUUUGCUGAGGAGACCAGGAGACAAACCAUCAGGUGGUUCCUCCAGCCUCUUUGCACCUAGUCCUCCCAGAGUAUGACCUGAGGGCCCUUCUGAUGGUCUUAUUUGUGUACAUAUGUGUUGCGUAUAUAUUCAUAAAUAUAAAUAUUUAUUUACUGAUAGACUUUUCCUGAUUUAAAAAUAUAUAUUUAGCAUAGGAACAGAAAAUGGAAAAGAUAAAGAAGGUUUUACUCCUCCAUUCCACCAUUUCCUUGUCAAGACAUAUUGCCCUGUGAUGACUGUGUGAUUUAAGGGAAAUGAAAGUAGAUUCUUAUCAUAGAGAAACUGAGAAUUCUUAUUCUGGAUCAUUAAAACAACCAUGAAAUAUAUACUGGGCAGGAUUUAUUCUUCCAUUUAUCAGAUAAGAAAACCGAGUCUCAGAAAAUUAAGAGACUUGUCCAUGAUAUCUUGGCUAAUGUGGUUUGGGAUGAGGUGCCACUUAAGAAGAUACAAAAAAAGAAAAGGAUACUCGAUAGAGAAAAUAACCACACAUCUUGGAACAGAGUCAUUUCUGGUCACUGAGAAAUGAUUCCAUUUGAAUCCAGGUUGCCAGGGAAGAAUAAAUGUGCAGCACAUGUGUGCAUAGGCCAAGCCCACAUGAGAAAAUGAGGCCUCAUGAUUGAUGCUUCUCAAUGAUGCUCUUUGGCCUGAACUGAUGAGAAGUUGGUCUGAGUUGAAGGCACUGAACAGAUCAUCAAACUCUCCACAUAUCACCUCAUCACGGUCAUCAUAGUCUCUCAGCAUGGAAACAACCCGGCUGGCUACAGGGAUAACCUCCGUGGAAAGUCACAGGAGGGCUGAGGUAUCUUCUGCAAGGUACUGCCAGCCAGUACGCAGAAGGGUCUCAACAAAGCUCUGUGGGCUUCCUUCAGCUGGUGCUGGCAUUACCCUCCUUUCCCGAGAGCAAAUGUCUAUGGAGCUUCUUCGAUAGAAGAAACAUUUGCCUUGCUCCCUCAGGCCUCCAUCCCCUCUGAGAUUCCUCAAGAGGAAGCCUGGGCUCGCUGGACAUUGCUCCGCUGAGCUUCCUCUAAUCUCCUGGCACUGAGUCAGGAGCUUUGUUCAAGGAAAGGAAAAUUACGAUUGUGUGUACAAAUUGAUUCUAACUCUGAAGGAAGCAGUCAUCUAGGACCGUGUGGACUGGACAUCUAGGACCAUCCUGCUCAACCUAUCAGUGCAGAGCACCGGGCAAGGGGAAAACCAGGCCACCCGAAGAAUCUCCUGAGGAAUUGGAGCCAUGGUGAUGGGAUCAACAAGCUCCAGAAUGACAGCAGAUAGCAAGAGGCAGGAGAGUGAACUGAAAAGAAGAGGAUCCUACAGCAAGUUGCUGACCCAGCUUACAGCACAGCUGCCCUCUUUCAUGAAAUGGGAAGAAUCUUUUGUGCCUCUCUGUACCAUUGUCCUCAAUGCUCGGUAGCUAUCACAGAGAAGUUGUUAUUGUUAGCAAGUAAUCAUAAUUCCAAGAAGCCACCAGCUAAGGGGGUUCUGAUGGAUGCUUUUCUCUUUCUUCAGAAAACAAGUAAGACCCCUCUAUCUUGGAAAAGCCUGACAAAUGUUCCCUAGAGGCUACUGAGGAAGGGAGCAUUCCACAUCCCAUGAUGGUAUGAGGGAUGAAGAUCCCUGCCUGGGAAACAAGAGCAACACAGGGAGUGGGCGACAGUCCUGUCUCAGCCACAUGGCCUUGGGCAUGUCCUUUAGCCUCCUGGGUCCUCUCUUUCUCCAUCUACCAAUCAAGGAGGCUCUAAAGACCUUCCCACUCCAAUGACCUUGCCUUCACCUGGGGCAUCAGAGAGAGGGCAGGGUUCUCGUUCCCCUGGGUCUUCCCCCAGCCCUGUUGACCUAGGAAGGCUACUGCCAACCCUCAGCCAAGAUCUACCUUCCCUCUUGAGGAUUGGUCAUGCUCAGAAAUCAACUAAUUUGGGGGACCAACAUGAAACAAAACACACUACAAGGAAACUCUUUGAUAAGCCCUCCACCUAGGUACACACACACACACACACACACACACACACACACACACAUCUACAGACACACUCAAUCCCUAAAGUGUAAGUAUUUUCCCUUCCAUGUAUCAAGCCUAUUUUACCCUUUCUAACUGCCAGUGUGUUAGGAGAGAAUUCAAUCCCACUAAUGGAAAACACUGCUUCCUUUUAGGGAGCUUAGCUAAACCUCAGUGUUUGGGGGUGACCCUGGGCAGGUCCCAAAACACAUUAACGGCAGCCCAGAAAUGUAGGCUCUACCAACCGAGACUGAGGCAGUAAAUAGUUAGCACAGUGCCAGGGUCCAGAUCCUUCCCUCCUUGCUUGUCCACCUCCACUGCCUCCCCCACCCACAGAUAUGUUGUUCUGUGGUGGUGGUGGCCUGUUCCAGCCUGCCCGUCUGCCUGCACAGAGUGCCGUGGACUUAUUCUGUAAUGUACUGUGUAUAUGUAUGUCCUGACUGUGGUUUACUACAAAUAAAAAUGACAGCAGAUUGCUGACCUCUGA
Myotis davidii is the source of this 3047-nucleotide long non-coding RNA. RefSeq lists it as uncharacterized. The record is from RefSeq and is a predicted model, not a curated record. The transcript is spliced from 2 exons. NCBI's taxonomy places the organism in Eukaryota, Metazoa, Chordata, Mammalia, Chiroptera, Vespertilionidae.